AUCUGCAGUCAUUCGUUUGCAAGAGCCCUGCGGUCAACGAAUAGUGAUGGCCCAGUGGCUUGUGAAUCUGACCUCUUGGCUCCAGAGAGGUCAAAGGGCUCACACCAGGGUCAGGGCCUUUCUUUAUGUCUCCUCUCACCAAAGGCUCUGUAAUGAAUGGGAAGCCUGGGGGAAACAAAAGCUUUCAGGAGAGACAAGCGACAGUGAUCAGCGCCUCUGCUCACAGUGACGUUCCCCUUACCAACUGAAGCGACAGAAACAAACAAACAAAUCCCAAAAGAGAAGAACAGACCAUGAGAAAUGGUCAGCUUGGGAUAGAAUCGGGUGAUGUUUCAAAGUCGAAAAGAAGAAAAAAGUUGGAUGCCUGUCAGACUUGAUCUCCAGAUCAGGCUGACUCAUCUGUCCCAUCAGAAGCAACACAUGUGAACAGACGGCUUGCAGCAUGGCUCAAAAAAGGAAAGAAAC
Long non-coding RNA from Carassius gibelio (silver crucian carp), 465 nucleotides. RefSeq lists it as uncharacterized. The record is from RefSeq and is a predicted model, not a curated record. The transcript has 3 exons. Lineage: Eukaryota; Metazoa; Chordata; Actinopteri; Cypriniformes; Cyprinidae.